This 200-nucleotide long non-coding RNA is filed under the name Homo sapiens (human). Its description in RNAcentral is "HSALNT0086236". Lineage: Eukaryota; Metazoa; Chordata; Mammalia; Primates; Hominidae. The record is from RNAcentral.
GCUCACCGUGUGGGAUUGGUCGGUGCAGUUUGAACCCAAAGCCCAGACAUUGCUCAAAAACCCUCUUUAUGUGGAAAAGCCAAAACUGGACAAAGGCCAACGGAAAGGAAUGCGCUUCAAAAAGUCUGGGGCCCAGUGAAUGUUGUGCUUACUCAUCCCCAGCACUGAAAGGGCACAAGUGCAUGCCAUUCCUGGGAAGG